AGGCUCAAGUUUGCUUGUGGGGUACUGCCUAAGUCCUCUCCGCGGCGGCAGCAACCGGGAAGAUCUGCGCCGCUCUUUCCAGGAGGCUCCGUGCACCAGGGUUCCAGAUGGCGUUUGGUGUUUUCCUCUGGCGUCUGGAUGUGCACAGAGUGCAGUCCCGAGUGCUUUUACUUAGAAAUCCCAGGGAUCAAAUUCACUGUCUCCAUUUCCAAAUGGCCCUGCUCUGUACUCGACUUCACAGUUAUCAACAUAUUCUCAACUUCCCAACCAGAAAUUUGGGGUUCACCUUUCUGCCUCCUAUUCCCCCUUGCCAUCCAGUUAGUUGCAAAGUACUUGUGGCCGGCUAGAACUCGUUUUGCCUGUUGAGGAACCAGCGCCUGACCUAGAGUGAGCAAAGAAUAAAAAAUGAACCAAAGAGGGGAUGGGUUUCGCUGUCCAGGGCCAUCACUGAGAGGAGGUGUGGUGGUUGAGCUGUCUCUGUGUUUGUCUCCCUCCAGUCUGAGAUACACUAUGAACUCUUUGCUGUGAUUGCCCAUGUUGGGAUGGCAGACUUCGGUCAUUACUGUGCCUACAUCCGGAAUCCCGUGGAUGGAGAAUGGUUCUGCUUCAAUGAUUCACAUGUUUGUUGGGUGACCUGGAAGGAUGUCCAGUGUACCUAUGGGGAUCACAUAUAUCGUUGGAGGGAAACUGCCUAUCUCUUGGUUUACAUGAAGACUGGAUCCUGACAGAUAUACUCACACCUUCAGAGAGUGACAGACUCUUUUCUCCUCUCCUGUACCCACAUCUGCUGCAUUUCAACGAGAAUCGUAAUUUAAAAACCAUAAUUAAGCCCUAUUUAUAAGCAAGGAUUAUUAUUAUUGCUGUGGCUUGGCUGUAGUUUGUCUCCCAACAGCUCACACACAGAAGGCUUGGUCUUUAGUAUGGAGGCGUUUGGGUGACAGAACUUUUAAGGGACAGGGCCCAGUGGGAGGUAAUCAGUUCAUGGGAUCUCUCUUCUGUGCACUAAUAGUUCCUUUUCUGUUUCUCCGUGGUGAUGCAAACAGGGUGAUCCAACAUGCCAGUGCCAAGCUGGUUGGAUCCUCUAGCUUUCAAAAUUCCAAGUCAAAUAAAUGUUAUUACACACUA
This 1125-nucleotide long non-coding RNA is filed under the name Rattus norvegicus (Norway rat). Its description in RNAcentral is "long non-coding RNA NONRATT020871". Lineage: Eukaryota; Metazoa; Chordata; Mammalia; Rodentia; Muridae. The record is from RNAcentral.